UGGAGAUUAAGCCAUGCAUGUCUAAGUAUAAGUUAUAUAUGGCGAAACUGCGAAUGGCUCAUUAAAACAGUUAUAAUUUAUUUGAUGAUUUUUUUACAUGGAUAACCGUGGGAAACUGGGGCUAAUACAUGCGUAAAUGCCGCAAGGCUGUAUUUAUUAGUUUCAAUCCAAUAUAACUCCGUUAUUUUGCGAGGAAUCAUAAUAACUAAUCAGAGCGUAGCAAUACGCCGCAUCAUUCAAGUUUCUACCCUAUCAGCUCUCGAUGGUAGUGUAUUGGACUACCAUGGCAAUUACGGGUAACGGGGAAUUGGGGUUCGAUUCCGGAGAAGGAGCCUGAGAAACGGCUACUAUUUCUAAGGAAGGCAGCAGGCGCGUAAAUUACCCAAUCCUGACUCAGGGAGGUAGUUAAUAGAAAUAACUUAGAUCGGCUCUAUGAGUAUUGAUCGUGUAAU
This 452-nucleotide ribosomal RNA is filed under the name uncultured eukaryote. Its description in RNAcentral is "bacterial SSU rRNA". It matches the Rfam family "Eukaryotic small subunit ribosomal RNA", at positions 38 to 515 of the family's 1831-position model. The record is from RNAcentral.